RNAcentral lists this ribosomal RNA (253 nucleotides) under uncultured bacterium. Its description in RNAcentral is "partial 16S ribosomal RNA". It matches the Rfam family "Bacterial small subunit ribosomal RNA", at positions 524 to 776 of the family's 1533-position model. The record is from RNAcentral.
UACAGAGGUGGCUAGCGUUGUUCGGAAUUACUGGGCGUAAAGGGCGCGUAGGCGGUUCGUUAAGUCCUGUGUGAAAUCCCCCGGCUCAACUGGGGAACUGCACAGGAAACUAGCGGGCUUGAGUUCGGGAGAGGGAAGCGGAAUUCCGGGUGUAGCGGUGAAAUGCGUAGAUAUUCGGAGGAACACCGGUGGCGAAGGCGGCAUCCUGGACCGACACUGACGCUGAGGAGCGAAAGCCAGGGGAGCAAACGGG